GACGAACGCUGGCGGCGUGCCUAAUACAUGCAAGUAGAACGCUGAAGAGAGGAGCUUGCUCUUCUUGGAUGAGUUGCGAACGGGUGAGUAACGCGUAGGUAACCUGCCUUGUAGCGGGGGAUAACUAUUGGAAACGAUAGCUAAUACCGCAUAACAAUGGAUGACACAUGUCAUUUAUUUGAAAGGGGCAAUUGCUCCACUACAAGAUGGACCUGCGUUGUAUUAGCUAGUAGGUGAGGUAACGGCUCACCUAGGCGACGAUACAUAGCCGACCUGAGAGGGUGAUCGGCCACACUGGGACUGAGACACGGCCCAGACUCCUACGGGAGGCAGCAGUAGGGAAUCUUCGGCAAUGGGGGCAACCCUGACCGAGCAACGCCGCGUGAGUGAAGAAGGUUUUCGGAUCGUAAAGCUCUGUUGUAAGUCAAGAACGAGUGUGAGAGUGGAAAGUUCACACUGUGACGGUAGCUUACCAGAAAGGGACGGCUAACUACGUGCCAGCAGCCGCGGUAAUACGUAGGUCCCGAGCGUUGUCCGGAUUUAUUGGGCGUAAAGCGAGCGCAGGCGGUUUGAUAAGUCUGAAGUUAAAGGCUGUGGCUCAACCAUAGUUCGCUUUGGAAACUGUCAAACUUGAGUGCAGAAGGGGAGAGUGGAAUUCCAUGUGUAGCGGUGAAAUGCGUAGAUAUAUGGAGGAACACCGGUGGCGAAAGCGGCUCUCUGGUCUGUAACUGACGCUGAGGCUCGAAAGCGUGGGGAGCGAACAGGAUUAGAUACCCUGGUAGUCCACGCCGUAAACGAUGAGUGCUAGGUGUUGGAUCCUUUCCGGGAUUCAGUGCCGCAGCUAACGCAUUAAGCACUCCGCCUGGGGAGUACGACCGCAAGGUUGAAACUCAAAGGAAUUGACGGGGGCCCGCACAAGCGGUGGAGCAUGUGGUUUAGUUCGAAGCAACGCGAAGAACCUUACCAGGUCUUGACAUCCCGAUGCUAUUUCUAGAGAUAGAAAGUUACUUCGGUACAUCGGUGACAGGUGGUGCAUGGUUGUCGUCAGCUCGUGUCGUGAGAUGUUGGGUUAAGUCCCGCAACGAGCGCAACCCCUAUUGUUAGUUGCCAUCAUUCAGUUGGGCACUCUAGCGAGACUGCCGGUAAUAAACCGGAGGAAGGUGGGGAUGACGUCAAAUCAUCAUGCCCCUUAUGACCUGGGCUACACACGUGCUACAAUGGUUGGUACAACGAGUUGCGAGUCGGUGACGGCAAGCUAAUCUCUUAAAGCCAAUCUCAGUUCGGAUUGUAGGCUGCAACUCGCCUACAUGAAGUCGGAAUCGCUAGUAAUCGCGGAUCAGCACGCCGCGGCGAAUACGUUCCCGGGCCU
This 1369-nucleotide ribosomal RNA is filed under the name uncultured bacterium. RNAcentral describes it as "bacterial SSU rRNA". It matches the Rfam family "Bacterial small subunit ribosomal RNA", at positions 28 to 1381 of the family's 1533-position model. The record is from RNAcentral.